GAUUCAGCCUUGUUACGUUGAGUCAUGCUUAUCUUCCUGUCUUACAGAUUAUAAUUUUAAAAUUCUCUCCAGACGCAACCUGAGAGUUUACUGGCUCCAUUUGCUACACACAAAUAAUUCUUAUUUCAAUAUUGUAUUAAAGUGUUCCUAGCUAGUCCACUCCAGUUCUUUAUCGGAACAAAACUUUUCUGCUAUUAUUUCCAGUUUCUUGGACCAGAACAAUAAAGCACAUAAGAUAGUUUCUAUAUGAACUACACUAUAUGGAAUAAAUGUUAUUAUGUAAAUUAUUAAAUUGCUAUACAGACCUUUACAAAAAAAAAAAGCAAAACUAAGGUACCUCAAUGGUGUCUGCUACAGAGAUUUUUUUUUUUCUUUUUAAUUAUUUUUGGUCAUAUCCUUUUUGGUAAGUAAUAUAUAUUCCAUACUCAGGUUAGCUAUCAAAAGAAUUAAGCAUUUGUGAUCUUUGGUUGAAAACUUUUACUAA
This 484-nucleotide long non-coding RNA is filed under the name Bos taurus (domestic cattle). Its description in RNAcentral is "long non-coding RNA NONBTAT019502". Lineage: Eukaryota; Metazoa; Chordata; Mammalia; Artiodactyla; Bovidae. The record is from RNAcentral.